AUUGAACGCUGGCGGCAGGCCUAACACAUGCAAGUCGAGCGAGCGGCGGACGGGUGAGUAAUGCCUAGGAAUCUGCCUGAUGGAGGGGGAUAACUACUGGAAACGGUAGCUAAUACCGCAUACCAUCGGAUGAGCCUAGGUGGGAUUAGCUAGUUGGUGGGGUAACGGCGUACCUAGGCGACGCUCCCUAGCUGGUCUGAGAGGAUGACCAGCCACACUGGAACUGAGACACGGUCCAGACUCCGACGGUAGGCAGCAGUGGGGAAUAGUGCACAAGGGGCGCAAGCCUGAUGCAGCCAUGCCGCGUGUAUGAAGAAGGCCGUCGGGUUGUAAAGUACUUUCAGCGGGGAGGCGUUACCCGCAGAAGAAGCACCGGCUAACUCCGUGCCAGCAGCCGCGGUAAUAC
Molecule: ribosomal RNA, 406 nt
Filed under: uncultured bacterium
Lineage: Bacteria
Description: partial 16S ribosomal RNA
Rfam family: Bacterial small subunit ribosomal RNA
Source: RNAcentral